RNAcentral lists this ribosomal RNA (289 nucleotides) under uncultured bacterium. RNAcentral describes it as "partial 16S ribosomal RNA". It matches the Rfam family "Bacterial small subunit ribosomal RNA", at positions 10 to 290 of the family's 1533-position model. The record is from RNAcentral.
AGUUUGAUCAUGGCUCAGGAUAAACGCUGGCGGCGCACAUAAGACAUGCAAGUCGAACGGACUUAACCAUUAGUUUACUAUUGGAGCGGUUAGUGGCGGACUGGUGAGUAACACGUAAGCAACCUGCCUGUUAGAGGGGAACAACAGUUAGAAAUGACUGCUAAUACCGCAUAUGCCUUGAGUAUCGCAUGGUACAAGAGGGAAAGGAGCAAUCCGCUAACAGAUGGGCUUGCGUCUGAUUAGAUAGUUGGUGGGGUAACGGCCUACCAAGUCGACGAUCAGUAGCCGG